CAAAGAUUAAGCCAUGCAUGUCUAAGUACAUACUUUUACAUAGUGAAACCGCGAAUGGCUCAUUAAAUCAGUUAUGGUUCCUUAGAUCGUACAAUCCUACUUGGAUAACUGUGGUAAUUCUAGAGCUAAUACAUGAAACAAACCGCUCCGACCUCGCGGAAGGAGCGCGUUUAUUAGAUCAAAACCAGUCGGGUGUCAAAGCCCGCAAAUUGGCGAAGCUGGAUAACUUUGUGCUGAUCGCACGGCCUCGCGCCGGCGACGUAUCUUUCAAAUGUCUGACCUAUCAACUUUCGAUGGUACGUGAUAUGCCUACCAUGGUUAUAACGGGUAACGGGGAAUCAGGGUUUGGCUCCGGAGAGGGAGCAUGAGAAACGGCUACCACAUCC
RNAcentral lists this ribosomal RNA (386 nucleotides) under Limnoperna fortunei. Its description in RNAcentral is "SSU rRNA". It matches the Rfam family "Eukaryotic small subunit ribosomal RNA", at positions 38 to 417 of the family's 1831-position model. Lineage: Eukaryota; Metazoa; Mollusca; Bivalvia; Mytilida; Modiolidae. The record is from RNAcentral.